Molecule: ribosomal RNA, 425 nt
Filed under: uncultured bacterium
Lineage: Bacteria
Description: bacterial SSU rRNA
Rfam family: Bacterial small subunit ribosomal RNA
Source: RNAcentral
GUGGGGAAUAUUGCACAAUGGGGGAAACCCUGAUGCAGCAACGCCGCGUGAGUGAAGAAGUAUUUCGGUAUGUAAAGCUCUAUCAGCAGGAAAGAAAAUGACGGUACCUGACUAAGAAGCCCCGGCUAACUACGUGCCAGCAGCCGCGGUAAUACGUAGGGGGCAAGCGUUAUCCGGAUUUACUGGGUGUAAAGGGAGCGUAGACGGUUUUGCAAGUCUGAAGUGAAAGCCCGGGGCUUAACCCCGGGACUGCUUUGGAAACUGUAGGACUAGAGUGCAGGAGAGGUAAGUGGAAUUCCUAGUGUAGCGGUGAAAUGCGUAGAUAUUAGGAGGAACACCAGUGGCGAAGGCGGCUUACUGGACUGUAACUGACGUUGAGGCUCGAAAGCGUGGGGAGCAAACAGGAUUAGAAACCCCAGUAGUCC